GAUAGAGAGAGAUGGAGGGAAGGAGUGGUAGGGGAUUGAUAGAGAGAGAGAGAGAGAGAUGGAGGGAAGGAGGAGUGGUAGGGGAUUGAGAGAGAGAGAGAGAGAUGGAGGGAAGGAGUAGUGGUAGGGGAUUGAUAGAGAGAGAGAGAGAGAGAGAGAGAGAGAGAUGGAGGGAAGGAGUAGUGGUAGGGGAUUGAUAGAGAGAAGACUUAAUCAUGGAUUGAAUGCGGUAGGAAGGCAAAGGAGGGAAGCAAGCCUGUAUGACAAACUGUUCUCAUUUGGAUAGCAGCUACAUUGCAGUGCGGCGAUUGCACGUGCUCAAAAGACCAAGCAAACAGCUGAAAGUGUUAUUUGACGUCUGCCCAGACAACAUUUCUAGAAUUGAAAAGUCACAUUAAGGGUUUUGGUGAAAUAGGUAGUGUAAGGUUUCAGAUCGGAAAACCAAUGCUUGGAAAGGAUGGAUAAGGUGGUCUGUCAAAUAAAGUGUAGGGAUUUGUAACUAACAAAGAGAGUAUGGUUUAGGAGCUAUCUCAAAUAAAGUGUAGGAUUUGUAACUGUAACAAAGAGAGUAUGGUUCAGGAGCUAUCUCAAAUAAAGUGUAGGGAUUUAUAACUGUAACAAAGAGAGUAUGGUUCAGGAGCUAUCUCAAAUAAAGUGUAGUAUUUAUAACUGUAGCAAAGAGAGUAUGGUUCAGGAGCUAUCUCAAAUAAAGUGUAGGGAUUUAUAACUGUAACAAAGAGAGUAUGGUUCAGGAGCUAUCCCAAAUAAAGUGUAGGGAUUUAUAACUGUAACAAAGAGAGUAUGGUUCAGGAGCUAUCUCAAAUAAAGUGUAGGGAUUUAUAACUGUAACAAAGAGAGUAUGGUUCAGGAGCUAUCUCAAAUAAAGUGUAGGGAUUUAUAACUGUAACAAAGAGAGUAUGGUUCAGGAGCUAUCCCAAAUAAAGUGUAGGGAUUUAUAACUGUAACAAAGAGAGUAUGGUUCAGGAGCUAUCUCAAAUAAAGUGUAGGGAUUUAUAACUGUAACAAAGAGAGUAUGGUUCAGGAGCUAUCUCAAAUAAAGUGUAGGGAUUUAUAACUGUAACAAAGAGAGUAUGGUUCAGGAGCUAUCCCAAAUAAAGUGUAGGGAUUUAUAACUGUAACAAAGAGAGUAUGGUUCAGGAGCUAUCUCAAAUAAAGUGUAGGGAUUUAUAACUGUAACAAAGAGAGUAUGGUUCAGGAACUAUCCCCCUUUAUUUGCCCCUUAAUGGAUUGCCAUAGCUUCUGAAUGGAAAAAAUGGAACAUCUGUUUGGCAGUUUGGAGAACAUGUAGUUUGUCGUAUCAAAAUGUUAUUAACACAUUUAGACACAUUAUAUCAAUACAUUUAGUGUCCUAUUUCAGGGCUUGUAGAUUAUAGAUGUAUCUCGUUAUGAAGAUUACUGUGUUACCAUGCUUUCAUUUGGCCAUCAUUAGGCUAAGAGUAUCAUUUCCAUUGGCACUCUAAUCUACAUCCAGUGUAUAUGUAUAGUGUAUUAGUGUGUAUAUCUGCGUUUAGAGGCUGGGAGAAGAAAGAAGGAGUGAUUGGUGUUUUUAGUUGGUAACUGGCCAUGUUGCUGAGGAGAAACAUGCAGGCCUGCAGGUACCUUCAUGGUAUUUGGAUGACUUAUUAAUAAUAAUAAUUAAUAUUUAUUAAUAAUAAUAUAUAUAAUAAUAAUUAUUAUUAUUUGGAUGACUGGUCAUAAUUUCACUUAUAAUUUCAUAAUUUAAUUUGCCCUCCUAUCUUUUUUUUUUCUCUCUUAAUGACAUUCAGCAUUUCAGAUGAGGUAAAGACCUUACAUUAGGGGUAGAAAGUAGAAACGUCCCUGUAAUCAGGACCUGUACUGGACAGCAGCUGACCAACACGACCCCCCACCCCCUAAACCUAACUGUUAUGGUUCAGGAGACCUUCUAUCAAUCUUGUGAUGUUUUUUUAAUACCAGCUGCAUAUAUGGCUAAUUGGUGAAAGCAUAAAUGGUGGCAAACUGUUGGAUAUAAUCAUUUUGAAGCUCUUCUUAUUAUAUUUGGCAAAACGAAUCUAGAGUAGAAACUUGGUAGCCUGACGUUGUCAUACUCAUAAUUCUAGUCAGAAUAUGAGUCUGAUACCGCUCCAUUGGGCUGUGAUUAUGGGGCGUGUUUCAACCGAACCAGGAAAAAAAAUGCCUCUUCGCUCAAUUGGAUAGACCUACAACCAAUCAGAGCAACGUAGUAUGUGACCAGGGCCAGCUGAUAAAUUAAACUUUUACCGAAUCCCGUAGGAAGGACGGCAAAAACAUCUUUUCGAUCGACAAAUGCCUUGAUCACGUUUCUCUGUUCCUCUUUCAAAAUGAAUGCGCUGUCGAUGUCUUCUAAAACAGACUUGAUGGCAGAAUCUAUCUACACUUCUCAGCUCUCCAGCGGCAGCCAUGUUUGUUGAAAACGAAUUCAACCCAAGCGCUCUUUGGUGACGUGGUUGAUUACGUUACUGUUGAUCAUCUGUCCAUCAUCGUAUAAAGCCCGCCCUGACAAUUCGAUUGGUCCGAACCAAUUUUUGAUCGGAGAUAGUUUUUUUCCCCCAACGGAUCAAUGCCAGACCGAACUUCCCGACCUCAAAUGUUGUGGGCGGGGCUAAGUUCGUGCUGGCACCCAGGCUGGUGUCUUUGUGCAGAAGGCUAUCAGGUCCUGGCAAACAGCCUUAAAUCUUUUCAUCAUAAAAGCGUAUGUGUUUCACUUGCUAAGGGGUGAAAUGGAAGAUGUUAAUCCUACUGAUUUUGUAGAUCUGAUCCUCCUGUUUUUACAUAAAAAAAUGACCCCUUAGUUAGAGGCACAGCAUCAACUAUGCAUGUUCAAACUAGACCUCUGGGUAAUGUCUGAAGAACAAGGUCCAGAGAAGGCUCAAAGUAAUGCUUUCACACAUGCAUCCUAGGACGUCAAGGGUGAGACGUUCACACAGGUGAAAAUGAUCUAAGUAAGUAAGACCUAUUUAAGCUAUAGUAAGGGUUUUUACUGCUCAACCAAGUCCCGUUGGCUAGUCACUGGGGUAAACGGCUGUUGCAGUUUCAAUGCUAAUGAUUUAUCAGAGGACUCCUAUUGGUAAAACAUUAGGCCUACGUAAGUGUUUUCAUUGCAUUUGUAAUGUAAAAAUCUGUGGACUCAUAGAAUGGAAAUCAUUGCUUCGUUUGGUAGAACUUUCUGGAUGCUCAGUGUCUCAACAUUCAACACCACAAACAGGAAAUAGAAUAGUGUGUGCUCGGUUAUGCCUUCUGCCUAGCAGAAAAAAAAACGUUCUUUUCUGUCCUUCACCGAGAUCUAAAAAGGAACAAUGAAAUGUCUGUUGAGAUUAGUGCACCCAUAAGAAAAUGAUUUUAAAAUGUUUUAAACCGUAUCCAGUGGUCCCAUAAGCUACAUGGGUUCCAUGUAUGGGCUGUGCCAGGCUUCCCAGCAGGAUGGUUGGAUGUGACCAGGACUCUAGAGUCUAGCCAGAAUACCCAGUUGGAUGUGACCAGGACUCUAGAGUCUCGCCAGAAUGCAUCAGAUGACUUAAAUUAGUGUUAGCAGUUUCCCCCCGUUUGGAUGUCUGUCAUUUCUGCAGCUGCAGAAGGAGAAGGAAAAGCGCCUGACUGGCAAACAUGCACAAGAUGUCUCACUUUCAAGAUGGCUCACUUUCAAGAUGGCUCACUUUCAAGAUGGCUCACUUUCAAGAUGUCUCACUUUCAAGAUGGCUCACUUUCAAGAGCGCUCUUCCUUUUGGGAGGAGGAAGCGGGUGGCUUAACUGAAAAAGAGUUUAUAAGGGUGUAAAGCCCAAACAGGCUAUUUGACAAUAGAGACAAGUACUAGUACACUUUCCUGACUCUUUUAGUGUCGUAGUGUCACUAUCAAUUCUUGUAUUCUGUCUGUGAGCAGAACAUUGCAACUGCAACAGCACAACUUUUAAAUAUGCUUGAGUGUAAACCAGUGGGGUUAGUUUAGCCAUAGUUUUGCCUUUUGUUGUGGCCAUGCCAUUUGCAUUAGGCUCCAGGCCAUGCUCUGUGGGUCCUGAUAAAAGUUGCCCUCCCUUGCUCUCUCCCUCUCUCCCUCUCUCCCUCUCUCCCUUUCUUCUUGUGCUUGAGUAGCUGUGGCAGAGACAGAGCAAGAGGCCCAAUCAACAGACGAGUGCAGGCUUCUUCUUGGAAUGUAGGCAGAGAACCGGCUGAUCUUGUCUGUUAGGAUUCUCGUUACUGAAGUGUCUCUCACUCUCUCUGUCACACACACACACACUCUCUCUCCCUCUUUCUCCCUCCCCUUGAACUAGAGCAUGUUUUUAAGUCAGGUAUUUUAUUUCUCCCAUCCCUUUUUAUAUUUUUCCAAGCGUUAUUUCUCUCCUGCUUGUCAAACUAUCUUCCUCCUUUCCUCAAUUAUCACAUUGUUCUGUCAACCAGCGAUGUUUUCCAACCAAUGCUCUGCAGUAACUGAUCCAGAGACUUGAUAUGUGUUGGACAGACACACAAGUCAUAGGGUCAGCUGCUCUGAGACCAGUCACCUGCACUUGUCUUUGCCUGUGAAGCCUUAUGGGAACUGUAAAGCAGCCCUUUUUACACACACACACAUGUGCUGGCCUACACACACACACAAAAGCAGAGAGGCCAUACACAGCCUCGUAAACUUUUGGUGUGUAGUUUGGCACAUGCAAGAAGUAGUUGAAGGCCAAAUCCUUGAGCUGGAAUACACAUGUUACUACCAUGUAAAAGACAUGCUCCCUUUUUGAUCAGGCCAUG
This is a long non-coding RNA of Clupea harengus (Atlantic herring), 4747 nucleotides long. The record is from Ensembl. Lineage: Eukaryota; Metazoa; Chordata; Actinopteri; Clupeiformes; Clupeidae.